Molecule: long non-coding RNA, 1157 nt
Filed under: Fukomys damarensis (Damara mole-rat)
Lineage: Eukaryota; Metazoa; Chordata; Mammalia; Rodentia; Bathyergidae
Description: lncRNA (ENSFDAG00000032503.1)
Source: RNAcentral
AGAGCAGUGUGAGUCCUGGAAGGCAGAGGCUGCUCUGUUUGCUCCCUGCUCUGUCCAAGGCACCCAGAACUAUGUCACAGAGAGGUGCAAGACAUUCGCUGACCAAUGAGCCACCCACUGGCUGGCCGCAUCUCCAUCCCACCAGUCCCGACUUUCUAAAGAAACUGAACACAUCCAGGGAGAGACACUGAGGAUGGAUCCCAAGACCACACACACCCUCAUCGAGGCCUCAGACUGCAGGGGUGGGACCUCCGCUGCUCUCAUGGCCUGGAGAGGAUGCGGGGGGCUGCCCUGUGAGUCUGUCUCCAACGAUGGCUAUCAAAAGGGAGAGGGAGCUAAACUGGUGGGCACCCCCAAAUUGAGGCUCCAAAACUGAGAGACUCAGUUCCCUCAGAGGCCUAGUCCAGUGACACCCCAUCCUGCAGGGACCCUCCUAUCUCAGGGACACACACCCCUUUUCCUAUGCCCCUAUGCACAUGGUGGCCACACACUGCUUCUCAUGACAGGUGGCCACACCUAGGGAUAGUUCUCACAACCCUGGGCUCUUAAGCUGUUUGUCCCUUUCUGUUCACAGACAUGCAGCAGUAAUAACAGCAAGAGCAGCAGUGAUGGCAGAAAUGCACACUAGAAGGGCCCUGUCCGCAUCCGGGGCCCUGCUCCAAGUCAGCUUCAGGCGGCUGUCAUGUGGCCGAACUCAGUAUGGCCUGAGAACCAGGCCGCCCCUCUUAUUCCGGAACCUACGUGACUACGCCUUUGUGGCUGUUAUCAGCAAGGCCAUCACAGCGCUUACCCAGAACCAGAACAGGUGGAGGCUGAGGUCAGACACGGUGGGGGAGCUGCAGGUCAGACCUGGGGGAGGAGGGAGGAUUCCUCCCCUCCCCUGACUGUGCCCAACCUCUAGUGACUCAUUUUCAAGCCAUUGAGUGUGAAUGUUUUUAGUGUAGAAAUGUAUUUAGUGUAGAAUUGCUUAAAUUCUGAAAAGCACCAAAAAGGUAGUAAAAGUCACCCAGGAUGAUCCCACCAAAAAUAAGCAGGGUUACUUUGUGUCCAUUUUCUUCCAGAAUGUUCUCUAGAUGAAAAAAAAACUAAUAAAAUGUAGAGAGAAUUGUUUCCCUUUCCAGUUGCUUCAUUUGGUUUCUCUACAUUGUUCUAUACUG